Long non-coding RNA from Alnus glutinosa, 965 nucleotides. RefSeq lists it as uncharacterized. The transcript has 3 exons. Lineage: Eukaryota; Viridiplantae; Streptophyta; Magnoliopsida; Fagales; Betulaceae. The record is from RefSeq and is a predicted model, not a curated record.
AAUCCGGUCAACCCUUUCUUCCCCAACCUCACGCACAGCCCCCUUCCUCUUUUCUUUUCUUCUUUUCCCUUCUUCUUUCCUUCAGCUUUCUUCUUUCUUCUCAACCAAACUGAGAGACCGACUGACAGAGAGAGAUUGAGAGUGAGAGAGAGACCGAGAGAGAGAGGCAGAGAACCGAGAGAGAGAGUGACGGAGUAGAAGAGAAACCCAGAGACCCGUAGCAGACCCGAGCCGAGACCCGUGAACCCGUGAGGCCGAUAGAACCCGAUCGGUGUGCUGGGUCAUCGGAGGUCCGAUCUUUUAGCGAUUUCCGGUGGUUCCAGUGGAUUUCCGGCGAAGACCCACAACCCAUUGAACCCGUGAGUGAAACCCGUGACCGUGAGACCCAAGACCCAGAACCCGGUUCUCUAUGGGUGUUUCCCGGCGACUGUCAGUGGUGUUUUCCGGCGGUCCAGUAGCGGUUUCCGAUGGAUUUUCUAGGAAAAUCCUGUAGGAUUGUGUUGUAAUUGGAGACUUCAAUGGUUCUCCAAGGUAGAGUUCGAGUAAUUGGAAUCCAGUGGGAGUUCGAGUCAGGAGUCUAAUGCAGCCAAGAUGAUGUUUCUUUGGCUGCAGGUACUUCGGUAUAGUCGAUGGGUCGGUAGCAGUGUGCUUGGGAUAUUAUGACUGAAGCUCGCCGCGACAGUUGUAAUUGUCGGACCACGGGUUGUCCACUAUUUUAUAGGUUUGGUAUGGCUUGUGACGUUUGUGUCACUUAUUCUUUGUUAAGCCAUUAUUGUUAUAGUGUUAAUAAGACUAAAACAGAUAGAUGUUAAAUGGCUCUUUGUUGUAAUUAACUUGUGAUAGAUGUAUAAGUUGUAAUUUCCGCUAUUCAGAUUUAUGUUUUCCGCUGCAUAGAUAGAUGUAUGUUAUACUCUGAUUAUCAGGUACAUGUUAUGGGGCAUGUGCCAUAUGUUGGCUGAGCGACA